AAGCGACGUUCAACCUCAAAAGAAGCAGAGGGGGCUUAGUGGUGGGGUGACUGCGUACCUUUUGUAUAAUGGGUCAGCGACUUAUAUUCUGUAGCAAGGUUAACCGUAUAGGGGAGCCGCAGGGAAACCGAGUCUUAAUUGGGCGUUAAGUUGCAGGGUAUAGACCCGAAACCCGGUGAUCUAGCCAUGGGCAGGUUGAAGGUUGGGUAACACUAACUGGAGGACCGAACCGACUAAUGUUGAAAAAUUAGCGGAUGACCUGUGGCUGGGGGUGAAAGGCCAAUCAAACCGGGAGAUAGCUGGUUCUCCCCGAAAGCUAUUUAGGUAGCGCCUCGUGAACUCAUCUCCGGGGGUAGAGCACUGUUUCGGCUAGGGGGCCAUCCCGGCUUACCAACCCGAUGCAAACUGCGAAUACCGGAGAAUGUUAUCACGGGAGACACACGGCGGGUGCUAACGUCCGUCGUGAAGAGGGAAACAACCCAGACCGCCAGCUAAGGUCCCAAAGUCAUGGUUAAGUGGGAAACGAUGUGGGAAGGCCCAGACAGCCAGGAUGUUGGCUUAGAAGCAGCCAUCAUUUAAAGAAAGCGUAAUAGCUCACUGGUCGAGUCGGCCUGCGCGGAAGAUGUAACGGGGCUAAACCAUGCACCGAAGCUGCGGCAGCGACACUGUGUGUUGUUGGGUAGGGGAGCGUUCUGUAAGCCUGUGAAGGUGUGUCGUGAGGCAUGCUGGAGGUAUCAGAAGUGCGAAUGCUGACAUAAGUAACGAUAAAGCGGGUGAAAAGCCCGCUCGCCGGAAGACCAAGGGUUCCUGUCCAACGUUAAUCGGGGCAGGGUGAGUCGACCCCUAAGGCGAGGCCGAAAGGCGUAGUCGAUGGGAAACGGGUUAAUAUUCCCGUACUUGGUGUUACUGCGAAGGGGGGACGGAGAAGGCUAUGUUGGCCGGGCGACGGUUGUCCCGGUUUAAGCGUGUAGGUGUGUGUUCCAGGUAAAUCCGGUUCACUUUAACACUGAGGCGUGACGACGAGGCACUACGGUGCUGAAGCAACAAAUGCCCUGCUUCCAGGAAAAGCCUCUAAGCAUCAGGUAACAUCAAAUCGUACCCCAAACCGACACAGGUGGUCAGGUAGAGAAUACCAAGGCGCUUGAGAGAACUCGGGUGAAGGAACUAGGCAAAAUGGUGCCGUAACUUCGGGAGAAGGCACGCUGACACGUAGGUGAAGUGAUUUACUCAUGGAGCUGAAGUCAGUCGAAGAUACCAGCUGGCUGCAACUGUUUAUUAAAAACACAGCACUGUGCAAACACGAAAGUGGACGUAUACGGUGUGACGCCUGCCCGGUGCCGGAAGGUUAAUUGAUGGGGUCAGCGCAAGCGAAGCUCCUGAUCGAAGCCCCGGUAAACGGCGGCCGUAACUAUAACGGUCCUAAGGUAGCGAAAUUCCUUGUCGGGUAAGUUCCGACCUGCACGAAUGGCGUAAUGAUGGCCAGGCUGUCUCCACCCGAGACUCAGUGAAAUUGAACUCGCUGUGAAGAUGCAGUGUACCCGCGGCAAGACGGAAAGACCCCGUGAACCUUUACUAUAGCUUGACACUGAACAUUGAGCCUUGAUGUGUAGGAUAGGUGGGAGGCUUUGAAGUGUGGACGCCAGUCUGCAUGGAGCCGACCUUGAAAUACCACCCUUUAAUGUUUGAUGUUCUAACGUGGACCCGUGAUCCGGGUUGCGGACAGUGUCUGGUGGGUAGUUUGACUGGGGCGGUCUCCUCCUAAAGAGUAACGGAGGAGCACGAAGGUUGGCUAAUCCUGGUCGGACAUCAGGAGGUUAGUGCAAUGGCAUAAGCCAGCUUGACUGCGAGCGUGACGGCGCGAGCAGGUGCGAAAGCAGGUCAUAGUGAUCCGGUGGUUCUGAAUGGAAGGGCCAUCGCUCAACGGAUAAAAGGUACUCCGGGGAUAACAGGCUGAUACCGCCCAAGAGUUCAUAUCGACGGCGGUGUUUGGCACCUCGAUGUCGGCUCAUCACAUCCUGGGGCUGAAGUAGGUCCCAAGGGUAUGGCUGUUCGCCAUUUAAAGUGGUACGCGAGCUGGGUUUAGAACGUCGUGAGACAGUUCGGUCCCUAUCUGCCGUGGGCGCUGGAGAACUGAGGGGGGCUGCUCCUAGUACGAGAGGACCGGAGUGGACGCAUCACUGGUGUUCGGGUUGUCAUGCCAAUGGCACUGCCCGGUAGCUAAAUGCGGAAGAGAUAAGUGCUGAAAGCAUCUAAGCACGAAACUUGCCCCGA
RNAcentral lists this ribosomal RNA (2271 nucleotides) under Salmonella enterica subsp. enterica serovar Agama. Its description in RNAcentral is "partial 23S ribosomal RNA". It matches the Rfam family "Bacterial large subunit ribosomal RNA". The record is from RNAcentral. Lineage: Bacteria; Pseudomonadati; Pseudomonadota; Gammaproteobacteria; Enterobacterales; Enterobacteriaceae.